AUUGAACGCUGGCGGCAUGCUUUACACAUGCAAGUCGAACGGGGUGAGGGGGCAACCUCUCAUUCAGUGGCGAACGGGUGAGUAAUACAUCGGAACGUACCCCGCAGUGGGGGAUAACUCGGCGAAAGCUGUGCUAAUACCGCAUACGAUCUCUGGAUGAAAGCGGGGGACCUGCAAGGGCCUCGCGCGAUUGGAGCGGCCGAUAUCAGAUUAGCAGUUGGUGGGGUAAAAGCCCACCAAGGCGACGAUCUGUAGCUGGUCUGAGAGGACGACCAGCCACACUGGAACUGAGACACGGUCCAGACUCCUACGGGAGGCAGCAGUGGGGAAUUUUGGACAAUGGGCGCAAGCCUGAUCCAGCAAUGCCG
This 368-nucleotide ribosomal RNA is filed under the name uncultured bacterium. RNAcentral's name for it is "bacterial SSU rRNA". It matches the Rfam family "Bacterial small subunit ribosomal RNA", at positions 30 to 399 of the family's 1533-position model. The record is from RNAcentral.